AUUUCUUGUCAACUACCUGAAAUAAAACUAUUUUUUAAUUUUGUUUUAGUUCAUGUUUCUUUAAUUUCAGUGUUUUUAUGAUUCUUUUGGCUGUCGAUGCUGCAGAGAGAGCACUUCUGACAUCGGGUCUGACAGCAUUAUAAGAACAGAAAUGUGUUAUUGCUUUUUUGUAACUUUUCUUCAAUAAUGCAUAAUUCUAGAGCAAUACGCUGGACUCAAACUCUUUAUGGAUGCAUUACAGGAAUAACUCACCCAAAAACAAUCAUUCACCCUCGGGUUGUUUCAGUGCACGAUUAGGUAAGGAUCUGCUCACUAUUAUUAGUCACAUGGACUUUUAUGGCACUAUUCUUUGUUCCGAAGUAAGUUUGGAUCGUGAGGUGAACCAUCCCUUUAAGUAAAUCUGUUCCUGGAUGAUCAGCUGAUCUCCGACUAACAGGGCUUCAGUCCUUCAGACUAAACCACUGUGCAAUUAAGUGUCUUUGUAAAGUCAUUUCAGCUGAUUUCACACCUUUACGAUGCAGUGAUGGGAGCGUAUUAUUUGCUUUCUUCAUACACCUGUUAUUCGCAAUGAUUCAUCAGUGCACUAAAAAAGAUUGUAUUCUAUUUUUUAAGUUUGUCUUCAUAAUUUUGUGCUGCCUCUAAAACGAUCUUCAAAGCCAUCUACUUGUUAACAUCAUACUGGUUUUAAAAAUGUUAUUUUAAUUUUAUGAUUUUGUGCUCAUUCUGUAACAACUUUACAGCUGUCAGCUUGAAAAA
Carassius carassius (crucian carp) is the source of this 756-nucleotide long non-coding RNA. RefSeq lists it as uncharacterized. The transcript has 2 exons. The record is from RefSeq and is a predicted model, not a curated record. Lineage: Eukaryota; Metazoa; Chordata; Actinopteri; Cypriniformes; Cyprinidae.